This 468-nucleotide ribosomal RNA is filed under the name uncultured bacterium. RNAcentral describes it as "partial 16S ribosomal RNA". It matches the Rfam family "Bacterial small subunit ribosomal RNA", at positions 28 to 523 of the family's 1533-position model. The record is from RNAcentral.
GAUGAACGCUGGCGGCGUGCCUAACACAUGCAAGUCGAGCGAUUCUCUUCGGAGAAGAGCGGCGGACGGGUGAGUAACGCGUGGGUAACCUGCCCUGUACACACGGAUAACAUACCGAAAGGUAUGCUAAUACGAGAUAACAUGCUUUUAUCGCAUGGUAGAAGUAUCAAAGCUCCGGCGGUACAGGAUGGACCCGCGUCUGAUUAGCUAGUUGGUAAGGUAACGGCUUACCAAGGCGACGAUCAGUAGCCGACCUGAGAGGGUGAUCGGCCACAUUGGACCUGAGACACGGUCCAAACUCCUACGGGAGGCAGCAGUGGGGAAUAUUGCACAAUGGGCGAAAGCCUGAUGCAGCAACGCCGCGUGAGCGAUGAAGGCCUUCGGGUCGUAAAGCUCUGUCCUCAAGGAAGAUAAUGACGGUACUUGAGGAGGAAGCCCCGGCUAACUACGUGCCAGCCGCCGCCGUAA